GGUAAUUCUGGAGCUAAUACAUGCAGUGCCAAACGUCGGCCUUCGGGUUGGCGUGCGGCGAUCGACGCAAAUCUUCUCGAUUUUGCUAACUCUAGAUCAAACCGCUUAUCGCACGGUCUCGUACCGGCGAAGUUUCUUUUAUGUAUCUGCCCUAUCAACUAUCGUUGGCGGUGUAGCGGACCGCCAUGGUUCUAACGGGUAACGGAGAAUCAGGGUUCGACUCCGGAGAGGGAGCCUUAGAAACGGCUACCAUGUCUAAGGAUAGCAGCAGGCGCGAAAAUUAUCCAAUACCAAUACGGUGAGAUAGUAACGAGAAAUAACGAGACCGUUCUCUCUGAGGUCGGUCAUCGGAAUGGAAAAAAUCCAGACACUUUAUUGAGUAUCUACGAGUGGGCCAGUCUGGUGCCAGCAGCCGCGGUAAUUCCAGCACUCGUAAGGUAUAGAAUGAUUGUUGCGUUUGAAAAGUUCGUAGUUGGAUUUUAACACUGGCGCGUGUUCGGCCUUUGGGUCGUUUCGCGUGACUAGUUCUCUGUUCGCGUUCGUUCGUUGGUCUUCGGGCUGGCGUUCGUUGCGUUCAGGAUUACUUUGAAUGACUAAGUGCUCAAGACGAGACUUAUGUCCGAAUAUCACUGCAUAGAAUAAUAGAACACGGUUACGGCCGGUUUGUUGGUUUGACGGUUGUGAUAAUGAUUAAAAGGAACAGCCGGGGGCAUUCGUAUCGUGGCGCGAGAGGUGAAAUUCGUGGACCGUCGCGAGACGCCCUAAAGCGAAAGCAUUUGCCAAGAGUGUUUUCAUUAAUCAUGAACGAAAGUCAGAGGGUUCGAAGGCGAUUAGAUACCGCUCUAGUUCUGACCGUAAACGAUGCCAACUACCGAUCCGCUUGUGAAUUUUGUUCAUAGGCGGGGAGGUCCCCGGAAACGAAAGUUUUUCGGCUACGGGGGAAGUAUGGUUGCAAAGCUGAAACUUAAAGGAAUUGACGGAAGGGCACCACCAGGAGUGGAGUUGCGGCUUAAUUUGACUCAACACGGGAAAUCUCACCCGGCCAGUACAUUGUAAGGAUUGACGGACCGAUAGCUCUUUCAUGAUUCGGUGAAUGGUGGUGCAUGGCCGUUCUUAGUUCGUGGAUUGAUUUGUCUGCUUUAUUGCGAUAACGAACGAGACUUUGACUAUUAAAUAGUGCCCGUGUUCUUUCGCACGUGGUCACUUCUUAAAGGAAUUGGUGGCGUUUAGCCUCAAGUGAUUGAGCAAUAACAGGUCUGUGAUGCCCUUAGAUGUUCGGGGCUGCACGCGUACUACAAUGGUGGUACCAGCGUGAUUGUCCUUCUCCGAGAGGAGUUGGCAAACAGUUGAGAUAUUACUAUAGCUGGAAUUGAGUGUUGAAAUUUUCGCUCGUGAACGAGGAAUUCCAAGUAAAUGUGAGUCAUCAACUUGCAUUGAUUACGUCCCUGCCCUUUGUACACACCGCCCGUCGCUGCCCGGGACUGAGUUGUUUCGAGAAAGCUAUGGACUGGGAUGCGUGUAUGCUUCGGUGUACUGCGUUCUGGAAAUUAGUUUAAUCGCGAUGACUUGAACCGGGCAAAAGUCGUAACAAGGUAGC
This 1597-nucleotide ribosomal RNA is filed under the name Basilaphelenchus brevistylus. RNAcentral describes it as "SSU rRNA". It matches the Rfam family "Eukaryotic small subunit ribosomal RNA". Lineage: Eukaryota; Metazoa; Nematoda; Chromadorea; Rhabditida; Aphelenchoididae. The record is from RNAcentral.